AUUUUUGACAAUGGGGGCAACCCUGAUCCACCCAUGCUGCGUGUGUGAAGAAGGUCUUCGGAUUGUAAAGCACUUUAAGCUGGGAUGAAGGGCUUUAGGUUAAUACCCUGAAGUUUUGACGUUACUAACAGAAUAAGCACCGGCUAAAUCUGUGCCAGCAGCCUCGGUAAUACCGAGGGUGCAUGCGUUAAUCGGAAUUACUGGGCGUAAAGCACGCGUAGGUGGUUCAGUAAGAUGGGUGUGAAAUCCCCGGGCUUAACCUGGGAACUGCUUUCAUAACUGCUGAGCUAGAGUACGGUAGAGGGUAGUGGAAUUUCCUGUGUAGCAGUGAAAUGCGUAGAUAUAGGAAUGAACACCAGUGGCGAAGGCGACUACCUGGACUGAUACUGACACUGAGGUGCGAAAGCGUGGGGAGCAAAC
RNAcentral lists this ribosomal RNA (420 nucleotides) under uncultured bacterium. RNAcentral's name for it is "partial 16S ribosomal RNA". It matches the Rfam family "Bacterial small subunit ribosomal RNA", at positions 361 to 773 of the family's 1533-position model. The record is from RNAcentral.